Molecule: ribosomal RNA, 495 nt
Filed under: uncultured bacterium
Lineage: Bacteria
Description: partial 16S ribosomal RNA
Rfam family: Bacterial small subunit ribosomal RNA
Source: RNAcentral
GAUGAACGCUGGCGGCGUGCUUAACACAUGCAAGUCGAGCGAAGCACUUAUGAAAGAUUCUUCGGAUGAUUUCAUAUGUGACUGAGCGGCGGACGGGUGAGUAACGCGUGGGUAACCUGCCUCAUACAGGGGGAUAACAGUUGGAAACGACUGCUAAUACCGCAUAAGCGCACAGUACCGCAUGGUACCGUGUGAAAAACUCCGGUGGUAUGAGAUGGACCCGCGACUGAUUAGCUAGUUGGUGGGGUAACGGCCUACCAAGGCGACGAUCGGUAGCCGGCCUGAGAGGGUGACCGGCCACAUUGGGACUGAGACACGGCCCAAACUCCUACGGGAGGCAGCAGUGGGGAAUAUUGCAAAAUGGGGGAAACCCUGAUGCAGCAACGCCGCGUGAGUGAAGAAGUAUUUCGGUAUGUAAAGCUCUAUCAGCAGGGAAGAAAAUGACGGUACCUGACUAAGAAGCCCCGGCUAACUACGUGCCAGCCGCCGCGGUAA